UUUCGAUGGCACGCUCAUUCCAUUCUAAGCCGCUAUGCAGGCACUAAUCAACAAAUGUUCUGUGUAUCGAAGAAACUUUUCGGAAGAUUAAAACGAAGUGCCAUAAAUUCUAAAGAGUAAAUGUAGAUAACAUUUUGCCAAGGAUAUUUAUACAUUUUUCAAAGAAGAGUAUGAACACGUCCCAGUGAUGAACAUAUGUGACGACUUGAAAUUGAACAAGUUUUAUUUAAAUUACGAGACACAAGCUGGCCUAAUCGACGCACAAUGGAUUGCCAUCGACGGAAGAAAAAGCUGCGUAACAGGGAUUGUGUAUUAAUAAAAGUUACAGAUGGCAUCGACGUCGAAGACAAUCGAAAUGUCUUUGUUUCCCAAUGAUUCACCAACUCUGACCACCAACUAUUUGGAAUGAUAAAUCUAUUUGCAGCAGUUCUACUUUGCAUAAGCGAUAAUAUUUAAAAUAAUAUCGUGGAAAUGUGGUAUAUACGCAUAGUAUGUUGUCUCACGCGCGCUGACAAU
Frieseomelitta varia is the source of this 516-nucleotide long non-coding RNA. RefSeq lists it as uncharacterized. The record is from RefSeq and is a predicted model, not a curated record. The transcript is spliced from 3 exons. NCBI's taxonomy places the organism in Eukaryota, Metazoa, Arthropoda, Insecta, Hymenoptera, Apidae.